Xiphophorus hellerii (green swordtail) is the source of this 1677-nucleotide RNA transcript. It is a transcript of the gene named ADP-ribosylation factor related protein 1, with no coding region annotated. The transcript has 7 exons. The record is from RefSeq and is a predicted model, not a curated record. NCBI's taxonomy places the organism in Eukaryota, Metazoa, Chordata, Actinopteri, Cyprinodontiformes, Poeciliidae.
AGAAGAAAAAAGACGACGAAGAAGAAGAAGAAGAGCUUUGUCGUCGUGUAACGCUGCGUAUUUGGUUUCCAGUAGUUAUUAGACGCGUUUACGGUUCUCGGGCUGUUUUAGCACAGCUAGCUGUUUUCUGUAUAUGAUGACGUCUAAGUGAGACGUAUUGCCGUGACAGACUCACGGUUAUUUAGCUAAACCAAGCUAACAGCAGGAGUUGCGCAUCAAGACUUCUUUCAGCUGAUCCAAAAUGUACACUCUGCUGUCUGGGUUGUACAAGUACAUGUUUCAGAAGGACGAAUACUGCGUGUUGAUCCUGGGGCUGGAUAAUGCAGGAAAGACGACCUUUCUGGAACAGACCAAGACUAAGUUCAGUAAAAACUACAAGGGGAUGAAUCUGUCCAAAGUCACAACAACAGUUGGGUUAAACAUUGGUACCAUCGACGUCGGCAAGGCUCGCCUAAUGUUCUGGGAUCUGGGAGGUCAGGAGGAGCUGCAGUCUCUCUGGGACAAAUACUACGCAGAGUCUCACGGAGUCAUCUAUGUGAUUGACUCAACUGAUGAAGACCGCCUUUCAGAAUCGAAGGAAGCCUUUGGAUUGUUUUCCAGAGAAAAUGAUCUGCAGCGAGGCAUUAGAAGGCGUUCCACUCCUCAUUCUUGCCAACAAGCAGGAUGUACCGAGUUGUUUGUCGGUGCCGGACAUCAAAACAGCCUUCAGUGAUUCGGCACCAAAGAUCGGCAAAAGAGACUGCUUAGUGCAGCCCUGCACUGCCCUCACAGGGGACGGAGUGAACGAAGGCAUUCAGUGGAUGGUGAAGUGUGUGGUGAGGAACAUUCACCGGCCGCCCAGGCAGAAGGACAUCACCUAAAACACGGCUGACCCCACAUAUUCUGGACGUUGGCGGAAUUUUUGACAAGGACAUUCCAUGCGACCCCUGGAGUUGAAGACAUUCUGUUUUUCUAGUUUUACUCUAGUUGGAAGUUUUUCCCUUUGGACUCUCGUUACGGUGUGACUGUACAGGUUGAGUUUGCACUGUGAACUUGGGGCGACACGUUUUCUAGAGAUCAGUAUCGGACUGCACAGUCAGCUGAGCCUCACUGAUAGCAAGGAAACAUUGAUACGUCACUUCUCUUAUAAAUACAUCGAGUUUUCACUACUUUAGUCGGGUCCUUAAAUUCAUUUUUCCUUUAUUUCCAGGUUUAGGCGUGUCUGGCCAUGAAGCACUAAGGUCAACAUUUAAUGUCGGUUUCGUCCAGAAAGGACACAACAUAUUUGAGGACAAAGGGUAAAAAAAAUGAAGGUUCAAACAUUCUUUUUAUUUAAAUACUUUUUCUUGAAAGUCUCUUUUGUUCAUGCUCUGCUGCAUGUAAGCAGGGUGGCCUGCUUAAAAGGUUGCCUGCUGUGUAUUCGUUUAAACAAUCAAAUGCAUUUGUCAUUUUAUUCUUUAUGUGAAGUUGUGCAACAAAAUAUGACAUUGUUUCUCUGAAACUACAUCAGGUUACAGUGGGGGGGAAAAAAGCAAGUGGAUCAAAGACCAUAUGCGUGUAAUAACUUAAAGGGAAGCGGCUCAGCUGUGGGAAAUGGAAAACUGGUGGGAACUGGCUGCGGAAUAAUCCAGAUGAUUAGAGUCAAGCGUGUUUUAUUAUCUUUCAGUACAAAAGAUACAAUAAAAAAAAUAAACAGUA